UGAGGAAUAUUGGUCAAUGGGCGAGAGCCUGAACCAGCCAAGUCGCGUGAGGGAAGACUGCCCUAUGGGUUGUAAACCUCUUUUGGCGGGGGAUAAAGUGCGGGACGUGUCCCGUAUUGCAGGUACCCGUCGAAUAAGGAUCGGCUAACUCCGUGCCAGCAGCCGCGGUAAUACGGAGGAUCCGAGCGUUAUCCGGAUUUAUUGGGUUUAAAGGGUGCGCAGGCGGCCUGUUAAGUCAGCGGUGAAAUCCCGGGGCUCAACCCCGGGACUGCCGUUGAUACUGGUAGGCUUGAGUGCGGAUAAGGAUGGCGGAAUGUGUCAUGUAGCGGUGAAAUGCAUAGAUAUGACGCAGAACUCCGAUUGCGAAGGCAGCCUUCCAGCGCGCUACUGACGCUGAGGCACGAAAGCGUGGGGAUCGAACAGGAUUAGAUACCCUGGGUAGU
This 443-nucleotide ribosomal RNA is filed under the name uncultured Parabacteroides sp. RNAcentral's name for it is "bacterial SSU rRNA". It matches the Rfam family "Bacterial small subunit ribosomal RNA", at positions 355 to 794 of the family's 1533-position model. Lineage: Bacteria; Pseudomonadati; Bacteroidota; Bacteroidia; Bacteroidales; Tannerellaceae. The record is from RNAcentral.